UACCGCGUAGCUCAGUUGGCAGAGCAUUGGGCUAGUAUUCCAAAGAUCGUAGGUUCGAUUCCAACCGUGGACA
RNAcentral lists this transfer RNA (73 nucleotides) under Paramuricea clavata. RNAcentral's name for it is "tRNA-Thr". It matches the Rfam family "tRNA". Rfam says of the family: Transfer RNA (tRNA) molecules are approximately 80 nucleotides in length. Their secondary structure includes four short double-helical elements and three loops (D, anti-codon, and T loops). Further hydrogen bonds mediate the characteristic L-shaped molecular structure. tRNAs have two regions of fundamental functional importance: the anti-codon, which is responsible for specific mRNA codon recognition, and the 3' end, to which the tRNAs corresponding amino acid is attached (by aminoacyl-tRNA synthetases). tRNAs cope with the degeneracy of the genetic code in two manners: having more than one tRNA (with a specific anti-codon) for a particular amino acid; and 'wobble' base-pairing, i.e. permitting non-standard base-pairing at the 3rd anti-codon position. The record is from RNAcentral. Lineage: Eukaryota; Metazoa; Cnidaria; Anthozoa; Malacalcyonacea; Plexauridae.